RNAcentral lists this ribosomal RNA (510 nucleotides) under uncultured bacterium. RNAcentral's name for it is "partial 16S ribosomal RNA". It matches the Rfam family "Bacterial small subunit ribosomal RNA", at positions 28 to 507 of the family's 1533-position model. The record is from RNAcentral.
GACGAACGCUGGCGGUGUGCUUAACACAUGCAAGUCGAACGACGAGCGACGGAAGCCUGCUUCUAUCACUCUUAGUGUCGAACGGGUGAGUAACGUGUAAUCAACUUUCCCUUUUGAUGGGGACAACAGUUGGAAACGAUUCCUAAUUCCGCAAUCCAUCCUAUCUCUGAAUCCAGGAUGUCUUCAAAGUUGCCUCUAUAUGUUAGCUAUAUCUGAAGGUGGGGAGUGCGGCUGGUUAGCUCGCUGGAGGGGUAACGGCCCACCAAGGCGAUGAUCAGUAGCCGGUCUGAGAGGAAGGACGGCCACAUUGGGACGUAGACACGGGCCAAGCUUCUUCGGGAGGCAGCAGGUGGGGAACUUUCGCAAUGGACGAAAGUCUUACGGAACAACGCCGCGUGGGGGAUGACGGCCCUCGGGUUGGAAAGCUCUGUUAGUCGGGACGAAAGGGCUUCUUGCGAAUAGUGAGAAGGAUUGACGGUACCGGAAGAAAAAGCCACGGCUAACUACGUG